This 73-nucleotide transfer RNA is filed under the name Danio rerio (zebrafish). It matches the Rfam family "tRNA". Rfam says of the family: Transfer RNA (tRNA) molecules are approximately 80 nucleotides in length. Their secondary structure includes four short double-helical elements and three loops (D, anti-codon, and T loops). The record is from Rfam by way of RNAcentral. Lineage: Eukaryota; Metazoa; Chordata; Actinopteri; Cypriniformes; Danionidae.
GCCCGAAUAGCUCAGUUGGUAGAGCAUUAGACUUUUAAUCUGAGGGUCCAGGGUUCAAGUCCCUGUUUGAGCA